This 1245-nucleotide ribosomal RNA is filed under the name Salmonella enterica subsp. enterica serovar Enteritidis. Its description in RNAcentral is "partial 23S ribosomal RNA". It matches the Rfam family "Bacterial large subunit ribosomal RNA", at positions 668 to 1914 of the family's 2925-position model. Lineage: Bacteria; Pseudomonadati; Pseudomonadota; Gammaproteobacteria; Enterobacterales; Enterobacteriaceae. The record is from RNAcentral.
GUAGCGAAAGCGAGUCUGAAUAGGGCGUUGAGUAUUUGGUCGUAGACCCGAAACCAGGUGAUCUACCCAUGGUCAGGUUGAAGUUCAGGUAACACUGAAUGGAGGACCGAACCGACUUACGUUGAAAAGUGAGCGGAUGAACUGUGGGUAGCGGAGAAAUUCCAAUCGAACUUGGAGAUAGCUGGUUCUCUCCGAAAUAGCUUUAGGGCUAGCCUCAAGUGAUGAUUAUUGGAGGUAGAGCACUGUUUGGACGAGGGGCCCCUCUCGGGUUACCGAAUUCAGACAAACUCCGAAUGCCAAUUAAUUUAACUUGGGAGUCAGAACAUGGGUGAUAAGGUCCGUGUUCGAAAGGGAAACAGCCCAGACCACCAGCUAAGGUCCCAAAAUAUAUGUUAAGUGGAAAAGGAUGUGGCGUUGCCCAGACAACUAGGAUGUUGGCUUAGAAGCAGCCAUCAUUUAAAGAGUGCGUAAUAGCUCACUAGUCGAGUGACACUGCGCCGAAAAUGUACCGGGGCUAAACAUAUUACCGAAGCUGUGGAUUGUCCGUAGGACAAUGGUAGGAGAGCGUUCUAAGGGCGUUGAAGCAUGAUCGCAAGGACAUGUGGAGCGCUUAGAAGUGAGAAUGCCGGUGUGAGUAGCGAAAGACGGGUGAGAAUCCCGUCCACCGAUUGACUAAGGUUUCCAGAGGAAGGCUCGUCCGCUCUGGGUUAGUCGGGUCCUAAGCUGAGGCCGACAGGCGUAGGCGAUGGAUAACAGGUUGAUAUUCCUGUACCACCUAGCAUCGUUUUAAUCGAUGGGGGGACGCAGUAGGAUAGGCGAAGCGUACGAUUGGAUUGUACGUCUAAGCAGUGAGAUUGAGUGUUAGGCAAAUCCGGCACUCUUAAGAUUGAGCUGUGAUGGGGAGAGGAAAUUGUUUCCUCGAGUCGUUGAUUUCACACUGCCGAGAAAAGCCUCUAGAUAGAUAAUAGGUGCCCGUACCGCAAACCGACACAGGUAGUCAAGAUGAGAAUUCUAAGGUGAGCGAGCGAACUCUCGUUAAGGAACUCGGCAAAAUGACCCCGUAACUUCGGGAGAAGGGGUGCUCUUUAGGGUGCAAGCCCAGAAGAGCCGCAGUGAAUAGGCCCAAGCGACUGUUUAUCAAAAACACAGGUCUCUGCUAAACCGUAAGGUGAUGUAUAGGGGCUGACGCCUGCCCGGUGCUGGAAGGUUAAGAGGAGUGGUUAGCUUCUGCGAAGCUACGAAUCG